ACCCAGUUAGUUCAAUUGGUAGAACACUGAGUAAUUGUAGUUUUUUUACUUUAAAAUGCAGGUUCAAUUCCUGUACUGAGAA
RNAcentral lists this transfer RNA (82 nucleotides) under Rhizophagus sp. MUCL 43196. It matches the Rfam family "tRNA". Rfam says of the family: Transfer RNA (tRNA) molecules are approximately 80 nucleotides in length. Their secondary structure includes four short double-helical elements and three loops (D, anti-codon, and T loops). Lineage: Eukaryota; Fungi; Glomeromycota; Glomeromycetes; Glomerales; Glomeraceae. The record is from Rfam by way of RNAcentral.